This 442-nucleotide ribosomal RNA is filed under the name Claviderma brevicaudatum. Its description in RNAcentral is "partial 28S ribosomal RNA". It matches the Rfam family "Eukaryotic large subunit ribosomal RNA", at positions 700 to 1123 of the family's 3401-position model. Lineage: Eukaryota; Metazoa; Mollusca; Caudofoveata; Chaetodermatida; Prochaetodermatidae. The record is from RNAcentral.
CACGAAACCCAAGGGCGCAAUAAAAGUAAAAGCAGUCUCUGCCUAGGUGGGAUCUCGUCGCUUCGCGGCGCGCGCACCACCGGCCCGUCUCGUCUGCAUCGCAGUGAGGCGGAGCGAGAACGUACACGUUGGGACCCGAAAGAUGGUGAACUAUGCCUGAGCAGGAUGAAGCCAGAGGAAACUCUGGUGGAAGUCCGUAGCGAUUCUGACGUGCAAAUCGAUCGUCAAACUUGGGUAUAGGGGCGAAAGACUAAUCGAACCAUCUAGUAGCUGGUUCCCUCCGAAGUUUCCCUCAGGAUAGCUGGCGCUCGAUUGCAGUUUUAUCCGGUAAAGCGAAUGAUUAGAGGCCUUGGGGACGAAACGACCUCAACCUAUUCUCAAACUUUAAAUGGGUAAGAAGUCCGCCUCGCUUAAUUGGAGGUGGGCGUCGAAUGCGUGUGCC